RNAcentral lists this ribosomal RNA (315 nucleotides) under uncultured eukaryote. RNAcentral describes it as "partial 18S ribosomal RNA". It matches the Rfam family "Eukaryotic small subunit ribosomal RNA", at positions 1470 to 1796 of the family's 1831-position model. The record is from RNAcentral.
CCCUUAGAUGUCCUGGGCCGCACGCGUGCUACACUGACACUUACACCGAGUUUUUCCAAUGCCGAAAGGCCAUUGGUAAUCAGCAAUAAGUGUCGUGAUGGGGAUAGAUCUUUGGAAUUAUUGAUCUUGAACGAGGAAUGCCUAGUAAUCGUAGGUCAUCAGCCUGCGAUGAUUACGUCCCUGCCCUUUGUACACACCGCCCGUCGCUCCUACCGAUUUCGAGUGGUUCGGUGAAGCCUCCGGAUUGGCGCGCACCUCGGUGCCGCCGAGAAGUUGGCUAAACCUUACCAUUUAGAGGAAGGUGAAGUCGUAACA